Non-coding RNA from Phrynosoma platyrhinos (Desert horned lizard), 72 nucleotides. The record is from the annotation of a GenBank genome assembly. NCBI's taxonomy places the organism in Eukaryota, Metazoa, Chordata, Lepidosauria, Squamata, Phrynosomatidae.
GCCCACAUGGUAUAGUGGUUAGAGCAUUAGACAAUGACUCUGGAGACCAGGGUUCAAAUCCUGGCUCAGCCA